GCAAGUCUGGUGCCAGCAGCCGCGGUAAUUCCAGCUCCAAUAGCGUAUAUUAAAGUUGUUGCAGUUAAAAAGCUCGUAGUUGAAUUUCGGGAUCAAUAUUUCGGUCAUGCCGUUGGUAUGCACUGUUAUCAUUGAUUUCUCACCUUCUAAAGAACCAUAAUGCCAUUAAUUUGGUGUUACGGGGAAUUAGGACUGUUACCUUGAAAAAAUUAGAGUGUUUAAAGCAGGCUCACGCUUGAAUACAUUAGCAUGGAAUAAUGAAAUAGGACAUCCGAUUCUAUUUUGUUGGUUUCUAGGAUCGAUGUAAUGAUUAAUAGGGAUAGUUGGGGGCAUUAGUAUUCAAUUGUCAGAGGUGAAAUUCUUGGAUUUAUUGAAGACUAACUACUGCGAAAGCAUUUGCCAAGGAUGUUUUCAUUAAUCAAGAACGAAAGUUAGGGGAUCGAAGACGAUCAGAUGCCGUCGUAGUCUUAACCAUAAACUAUGCCGACUAGGGAUCGGAUGAUGUUAAUUUUUUAAUGACUCAUUCGGCGCCUUACGGGAAAC
Molecule: ribosomal RNA, 543 nt
Filed under: uncultured Glomeromycotina
Lineage: Eukaryota; Fungi; Glomeromycota
Description: SSU rRNA
Rfam family: Eukaryotic small subunit ribosomal RNA
Source: RNAcentral